UACGUAGGUGGCAAGCGUUGUCCGGGUUUAUUGGGUUUAAAGGGUGCGUAGGCGGCCUUGUAAGUCAGUGCUGAAAUAUCCCGGCUUAACCGGGAGGGUGGCAUUGAUACUGCAGGGCUUGAGUAAAGUUGAGGUUGGCGGAAUUGACGGUGUAGCGGUGAAAUGCUUAGAUAUCGUCAAGAACACCGAUAGUGAAGACAGCUUACUAGACUUCAACUGACGCUGAGGCACGAAAGUGUGGGGAUCAAACAGG
Molecule: ribosomal RNA, 253 nt
Filed under: uncultured bacterium
Lineage: Bacteria
Description: partial 16S ribosomal RNA
Rfam family: Bacterial small subunit ribosomal RNA
Source: RNAcentral